Lathyrus oleraceus (garden pea) is the source of this 979-nucleotide long non-coding RNA. RefSeq lists it as uncharacterized. The transcript is spliced from 2 exons. Lineage: Eukaryota; Viridiplantae; Streptophyta; Magnoliopsida; Fabales; Fabaceae. The record is from RefSeq and is a predicted model, not a curated record.
AAUAGAAACUAGAUGGUGUUACAUGCAUGUUUUUUUGUGUGGAGAAAAAUAGUGUCCGACAACAUCACACCAACUAUGUUUUCCAUCCUUCAUAAGUUCAGAUACACUUGCAACAUGGAUAAGAACACCGUUUAUCUUGCUCACCUGGAAGUGUGAAAUUGAGAAGAGUAUACAGAAGUUUUGAGCCAGUCGGUGUGGAGGAAGCUCUUUGAUGUCCCUAAUUCAUAUUGCAAUGUAUGUGACUGAGUAGGACUGUUUGUGGAUUCUCUUCCAGCAGCCUAACUACACAGCAUGAAGGCCACACAAAUAACAAUAAUAUCGUCGGAGAUUCAAGUGAUGGAAGCGGCAACUUCAGGGAGAGAAUGACAACAGCGGAUGCUUGCUGACAGUUGGAUUAAGAUCAUACCAAACAAAGCACCUGUGCUUAGGCCUGAAUUGGACGAGGUCUCAGUCCCGAACAAAUCACGAUUAGGAAUGACCCAUCUAGUGAACAUGUUUCUGAUCCGUUGGAUUUCACUUGAACUGAAAGUGCGCGAGCUAUUGUUAUCAACAUAUUCAGGAAAAAAAACUUCAAGAUCAUUAGCAAUCGUGGUCCUACUUGCCACUCAAAAGCAUAACUCAGUUGAUUGGCAUAUAGCUUAAGAUUAGAAGUCAAAUAUUCCUCAAAUGCAUUGAAAUGUGGAGCUCUUUCAAGUUUACAGAACUGAUUGAAUGUGUUAUCUGAGCACAGAGGAUUCCCAUCAAGCAAGAGUGUGACAUUUGGAGGAAGAUUAGUAGCGCCUGAUAUGUUUGCAAAUUGAUUAUUUUGUAACUCUAGUAGCAAUCUUUUAUUAGCAUUUGAAAUCUUGUCCUGCCAAACGCUGGAUGGAACACUUCCACUCUGUCUACAUCUCUCAAAGCAAAACCCAAAUUAUUGUAAGCUUCCAAAAUCUGGGGUCACAUGUAACAACUUGUUUGUAGUGUAAAAUUGCCAUGUCCA